This 465-nucleotide ribosomal RNA is filed under the name uncultured bacterium. RNAcentral's name for it is "partial 16S ribosomal RNA". It matches the Rfam family "Bacterial small subunit ribosomal RNA", at positions 28 to 507 of the family's 1533-position model. The record is from RNAcentral.
GAUGAACGCUGGCGGCGUGCUUAACACAUGCAAGUCGAACGGAAAGGCUCCUGCUUGCUGGGGUACUCGAGUGGCGAACGGGUGAGUAACACGUGGGUGAUCUGCCCUGCACUUCGGGAUAAGCCUGGGAAACUGGGUCUAAUACCGGAUAGGACCACAUUUUGGAUGGUGUGGUGGAAAGUUUUUCGGUGUGGGAUGAGCUCGCGGCCUAUCAGCUUGUUGGUGGGGUAAUGGCCUACCAAGGCGUCGACGGGUAGCCGGCCUGAGAGGGUGUACGGCCACAUUGGGACUGAGAUACGGCCCAGACUCCCACGGGAGGCAGCAGUGGGGAAUAUUGCACAAUGGGCGCAAGCCUGAUGCAGCGACGCCGCGUGGGGGAUGACGGCCUUCGGGUUGUAAACUCCUUUCGCUAGGGACGAAGCGUAAGUGACGGUACCUGGAGAAGAAGCACCGGCUAACUACGUG